UACGUAGGGAGCAAGCGUUGUCCGGAAUCAUUGGGCGUAAAGCGCGCGUAGGCGCCUCGUAAGUCCGUUGUGAAAGUCAAAGGCUCAACCUUUGAAAGCCGAUGGAUACUGUGAGGCUAGAGUCCGGAAGAGGCGAGUGGAAUUCCUGGUGUAGCGGUGGAAUGCGCAGAUAUCAGGAGGAACACCAAUAGCGAAGGCAGCUCGCUGGGACGGUACUGACGCUAAGGCGCGAAAGCGUGGGGAGCGAACAGG
Molecule: ribosomal RNA, 252 nt
Filed under: uncultured bacterium
Lineage: Bacteria
Description: partial 16S ribosomal RNA
Rfam family: Bacterial small subunit ribosomal RNA
Source: RNAcentral